UAACAAUGGCUUUAGUGGCGGACUGGUGAGUAACGCGUAAGCAAUCUGCCUAUUAGAGGGGAAUAACAGUGAGAAAUCACUGCUAAUACCGCAUAUGCCAUAGUUAUCACAUGAUAAUAGUGGGAAAGGAGCAAUCCGCUAAUAGAUGAGCUUGCGUCUGAUUAGCUAGUUGGUGGGGUAACGGCCUACCAAGGCAACGAUCAGUAGCCGGACUGAGAGGUUGAACGGCCACAUUGGGACUGAGAUACGGCCCAGACUCCUACGGGAGGCAGCAGUCGGGAAUAUUGCGCAAUGGAGGAAACUCUGACGCAGUGACGCCGCGUAUAGGAAGAAGGUUUUCGGAUUGUAAACUAUUGUCGUUAGGGAAGAUACAAGACAGUACCUAAGGAGGAAGCUCCGGCUAACUACGUGCCAGCAGCCGCGGUAAUACGUAGGGAGCAAGCGUUAUCCGGAUUUAUUGGGUGUAAAGGGUGCGUAGACGGGAAAUUAAGUUAGUUGUGAAAUCCCUCGGCUUAACUGAGGAACUGCAACUAAAACUGGUUUUCUUGAGUGCGGGAGAGGAAAGUGGAAUUCCUAGUGUAGCGGUGAAAUGCGUAGAUAUUAGGAGGAACACCAGUGGCGAAGGCGACUUUCUGGACCGUAACUGACGUUGAGGCACGAAAGUGUGGGGAGCAAACAGGAUUAGAUACCCUGGUUAGGUCCACACCGUAAACGAUGGAUACUAGGUGUAGGGUGUAUUAAGCAUUCUGUGCCGUCGCAAACGCAAUAAGUAUCCCACCUGGGGAGUACGGCCGCAAGGUUGAAACUCAAAGGAAUUGACGGGGGCCCGCACAAGCAGUGGAGUAUGUGGUUUAAUUCGAAGCAACGCGAAGAACCUUACCAGGGCUUGACAUAUGCAGGAAUAUGUUAGAGAUAACAUAGCUCUUCGGAGUCUGCAUACAGGUGGUGCAUGGUUGUCGUCAGCUCGUGUCGUGAGAUGUUGGGUUAAGUCCCGCAACGAGCGCAACCCCUGUGAUUAGUUGCCAACACGUAAAGGUGGGAACUCUAAUCAGACUGCCGGUGAUAAAUCGGAGGAAGGUGGGGACGACGUCAAAUCAUCAUGCCCUUUAUGUCCUGGGCUACACACGUACUACAAUGGCCGCUACAGAGGGAAGCUAAGUAGUGAUAUGGAGCAAAACCCUAAAAACGGUCUCAGUUCGGAUUGAAGGCUGAAAUUCGCCUUCAUGAAGCUGGAAUUGCUAGUAAUGGCAGGUCAGCAUACUGCCGUGAAUACGUUCCCGGGCCUUGCACUCACCGCCCGUCA
Molecule: ribosomal RNA, 1303 nt
Filed under: uncultured bacterium
Lineage: Bacteria
Description: bacterial SSU rRNA
Rfam family: Bacterial small subunit ribosomal RNA
Source: RNAcentral